CCCUUAGAUGUCCUGGGCUGCACGCGCGCUACACUGAUGUGUCCAGUAAGCACCUAACCUCUUCCGAAAGGAACGGGUAACCUUUGCAAAGCACAUCGUGAUGGGGAUAGAUUAUUGCAAUUAUUAGUCUUGAACGAGGAAUUCCUAGUAAGCACAAGUCAUCAGCUUGUGUUGAUUACGUCCCUGCCCUUUGUACACACCGCCCGUCGCUCCUACCGAUUGAAUGUUCCGGUGAGCUCUUCGGACUGCGCGGUCUGAAGUUUCUGCGUUCCGUGCGGAAAGUUGCGCAAACCUUAACAUUUAGAGGAAGGAGAAGUCGUAACA
This 324-nucleotide ribosomal RNA is filed under the name uncultured eukaryote. RNAcentral describes it as "partial 18S ribosomal RNA". It matches the Rfam family "Eukaryotic small subunit ribosomal RNA", at positions 1470 to 1796 of the family's 1831-position model. The record is from RNAcentral.